RNAcentral lists this microRNA precursor (70 nucleotides) under Mesocricetus auratus (golden hamster). RNAcentral's name for it is "miRNA (ENSMAUG00000003075.1)". Lineage: Eukaryota; Metazoa; Chordata; Mammalia; Rodentia; Cricetidae. The record is from RNAcentral.
ACCAGUGGAGACGAGGGACUGGGCCUGAUUCCUGCCACCCGCUCUAAGGCAGUCCUUUGUUCCUCCCCAG